AAGAAAUUAAAAGCGCAUCUUUCUCUUCUUGAAUACGUCGCCAGCAGGACGAGACAGAAAUAAGAGCUCCAGCGGCACCUUUAUCGGGGUAGUAACCGAAAGCAUGAUUGCAGUUGACAGCACAGUCUCGCACAGCGGAGCUGCCCGCUUCGCCGCCUGGCGAUGGACGCGGCAAGCGCGGAAAGGAUAACAUGAUUCUGUGCGCACCUACCUCCAUCAAGCCCGUUUGAUAUCAAAAGACUAGAAGACAUAAUAAAAGCAUAUCCUGGUUCUUGGAUUAUCACUGGGGACUUUAACGCCCGUCGCACCAUUUGGAGAAGCUCAAAAGUCACCGCAGCGGGACGAAAACUCGCUUCCUUUGUCGCCAAUCAUAACCUCUUGCUGCUGAAUGAUCAUAGUCCUACAUUUCUAGGGGGCACAGUGCACAGCAGCUGCCUGCACUUGACCUUUGUAUCGCGCCCCUUUGCCACGCGCGUUCAGUGGUUUUUGGACAUUGAGACGCAUGGGGGCGAUCACAUCCCCACUUACCCUAAGAUCAACGGGAUAUCUAAGACUCAUUCGCUUAACACACUACGUAGAAUAGAUUGGACUGUGUUUAAAAAUCUACUGGAGCACGUUCGUCGGGAAGGCCUCCCCUCUGGACUGCAAGAAGCUAUUAAAG
RNAcentral lists this unclassified non-coding RNA (661 nucleotides) under Dermacentor andersoni. RNAcentral describes it as "uncharacterized LOC126544093". Lineage: Eukaryota; Metazoa; Arthropoda; Arachnida; Ixodida; Ixodidae. The record is from RNAcentral.